UACGUAGGGGGCAAGCGUUACUCGGAAUCACUGGGCGUAAAGGGCGCGUAGGCGGCCUAGCAAGUCUGGUGUGAAAGCCCAGGGCUCAACCCUGGAAGGGCACUGGAUACUGUUAGGCUUGAGUUCCGGAGAGGAGGGGGGAAUUCCCGGUGUAGCGGUGAAAUGCGUAGAUAUCGGGAGGAAUACCGGUGGCGCAGGUGCCCCUCUGGACGGAAACUGACGCUGAGGCGCGAAAGCGUGGGGAGCAAACAGG
This 253-nucleotide ribosomal RNA is filed under the name uncultured bacterium. RNAcentral describes it as "partial 16S ribosomal RNA". It matches the Rfam family "Bacterial small subunit ribosomal RNA", at positions 524 to 776 of the family's 1533-position model. The record is from RNAcentral.